GAUGAACGCUGGCGGCGUGCUUAACACAUGCAAGUCGAACGGAAAGGCUCCUGCUUGCAGGGGUACUCGAGUGGCGAACGGGUGAGUAACACGUGGGUGAUCUGCCCAGCACUUCGGGAUAAGCCUGGGAAACUGGGUCUAAUACCGGAUAGGACGAUGGUUUGGAUGCCAUUGUGGAAAGUUUUUUCGGUGUGGGAUGAGCUCGCGGCCUAUCAGCUUGUUGGUGGGGUAAUGGCCUACCAAGGCGUCGACGGGUAGCCGGCCUGAGGGGGUGUACGGCCACAUUGGGACUGAGAUACGGCCCAGACUCCUACGGGAGGCAGCAGUGGGGAAUAUUGCACAAUGGGCGCAAGCCUGAUGCAGCGACGCCGCGUGGGGGAUGACGGCCUUCGGGUUGUAAACUCCUUUCGCUAGGGACGAAGCGCAAGUGACGGUACCUGGAGAAGAAGCACCGGCUAACUACGUG
This 466-nucleotide ribosomal RNA is filed under the name uncultured bacterium. RNAcentral's name for it is "partial 16S ribosomal RNA". It matches the Rfam family "Bacterial small subunit ribosomal RNA", at positions 28 to 507 of the family's 1533-position model. The record is from RNAcentral.